GAGCUUGAAGAGAUUCAAGAGUCGAUAGAUGAAGGAACCUCUACCGCUGGCACUCAACCCGAGGAGGAAACUCCGGUUGAACCGAUUGACGAAUCCUUACCUCUUAGACGUUCCGAUAGAGUUAGAGUUCAACCCCAGUUUUAUGGUUUUCAUAUUACUACCGAAGGGGACACGUAUAUUAGUGAUGGUACACUAAUAAAUCUAGAUGAAUCUAAUAGCUAUAAGGAAGCCAUGGCAGGCCCGAAGUUUACGAAAUGGAAAGAGGCAAUGGACAGUGAGAUCCAAUCCAUGCAUGAUAACCAAGUUUGGAAUUUGGUUGAUAAUGUGCCCGGACGUAAGACCGUUGGGUGCAAAUGGAUCUUCAAGAAGAAGACCGACGUGGAUGGAAACGUACACACAUAUAAAGCGCGAUUGGUUGCGAAGGGCUUUACUCAAACUCCCGGAGUUGACUAUGAUGAGACCUUCUCACCAGUUGCGAAGAUUAAAUCUAUUAGAGUGAUGCUAGCAAUUGCCGCAUUUCAUGAUUAUGAGAUUUGGCAAAUGGAUGUCAAGACCGCUUUCCUUAACGGAAAGUUGGCUGAGGAUGUUUACAUGGCUCAGCCAGAGGGGUUUGUGGAUCCGAAGCAUCCGAAUAGAGUGUGUAAGCUUGAGAAGUCCAUUUAUGGACUUAAGCAAGCGUCUCGCAGAUGGAAUCUUUGCUUCGAUGAGAAAGUCAAAGAGUUUGGAUUUGUACGAAGCGAAGACGAAUCUUGUGUAUAUGUCAAAGCCAGUGGGAGUAUAGUAAGCUUCCUCGUUCUAUAUGUCGAUGACAUAUUACUCAUAGGAAACGACAUCCCGACUCUGCAGGAGGUUAAGUCCUGGCUCGGGAAGUGCUUCGCUAUGAAGGACCUCGGAGAGGCUUCUUACAUUUUGGGAAUAAGGAUAGUAAGAGAAAGAAGUAAGAGACUAAUAGGACUUAGUCAGAACACUUACUUAGAGAAGGUACUAAAACGUUUUAGUAUGGAAAACUCGAAGAAGGGAGAAUUACCGAUACAAAGUAAUGCCAAGUUGAGUAAGACUCAAAGUCCGAGUACCGAAGCUGAAAUAGCAGAAAUGAGCCGAGUACCAUACGCUUCCGCAGUUGGCUCAAUCAUGUACGCUAUGACUUGUACUCGCCCUGAUGUAGCCUUUGCUUUGAGCAUGGUUAGUAGAUAUCAAGGGAACCCUGGCAGAGCCCAUUGGAUUGCGGUGAAGAACAUCCUUAAGUACCUUCGGAGGACGAAGGAAUGGUUCUUAGUCCUCGGAGGGAGUGAUGACUUGAAGGUGCGAGGGUAUAGUGACGCCAGCUUUCAGACCGACAGGGACAACUACCGUUCGCAGUCGGGCUGGGUCUUUACCCUGAAUGGAGGAGCAGUAACUUGGAAAAGUUCCAAGCAGGAAACCGUAGCUGAUUCAACGUGCGAAUCAGAGUACAUUGCAGCGAGCGAAGCGUCGAAGGAGGCAAUAUGGUUAAAGAACUUCAUCGGUGAUCUUGGAGUUGUACCUGCCAUAAAGGAGCCCAUGGAGAUUUUCUGUGAUAAUGAAGGAGCGGUUGCCUUGACCAAGGAACCGAGGGAUCAUGGUAGAUCAAGACAUAUCGACAGAAAAUAUCACUUCAUUAGACAUCGUGUAGAAGAAGGACAACUCGUAGUGAAGAGGAUAUCAUCAGAAGAUAACCCAGCAGAUCCGCUUACGAAGGGACUGAGUAGGGUUAAGCACUUGCAGCAUGCUAGGAGUAUUGGGCUGAAGGAUGAUAUUAGUAUAGAUUAGAUAGUAUUAGAAACGUGUAAUAGAUAAAUGUAAUUAACAUUUGAUGAUUAAAUAAAAGAGUAUUAUUUAUGAGUAAUGUUACUGUCUUAUGUUAAUUGUUUAACUAUUGUUUCACUUUGCAUGUUUUGACUUCCAGAAUAAUUGAGUUUAUUAAGAAUAAUCGAAUUAUUCAAAUUGUCCACAAUCGUUCAUAUGUUGGAAGUAGGUAUGAAUGAAGAUUGUCAUGAAUUGGUGUGUAGAUUGUCUAAAUGGUAUUAGACAUAGCAAAAGUUUGCUGCAACGUUCAUGAGUGCUUAUGAACUAGUUUUGAGCAUUGGAACAAACCCGCGCUUGCUGGAAUCACCUUAUGGAAUGUGAUAAAAAGGGUGAUCGCAAGACGAUAAUAUCAUAUGGUCUUAAAACCUAGAUAUAUGGUUUGUUAUUUGUUAAUUGGUUGUACAUUGAUAAUGCGAAACCGCAUCAGUAACUUGAUGUUAUAAAACGCAUUGUUGUGUAUAGUUGAUUAAUGAAUAAGUAAAUGCAUAUAAGUCGAAGUUUAUCUGUUACUUUUAUCCUAAGAGGGUAAAAGCGAUAUCUCGGCCGCUCGAUGAUUUGAUUUGACUUAUGUGCCGGGCCCGGUCAGAACUGAAUUGAUGUGUUCGAUUAAGUUCUAUGUCAAAUAAAUCGGAGAUCGAGAAACCAAAUGCUAGACAAAUUGUUCCAUAGAAUUGUCAGCAUGAUAUCUAAACAGAGGACUGUACGAUCCCUUAUCUAAAGGCCAAGAUUGAUUAGAUCAGAGUUUGACAGCGUCUUUGAGAGCUACGAUUGCUAAUCGGAUUAUACUUGUGUAUAUAGUUACUAGACUUAUCCAAGUGGGAGACUGUUGGAAUAGUGUCUAAGGCAGCAACUAUAUUAGGCAAGUAUUUGACCCGAUUGUGCAUGGUCCUUUUGGGUUGCCUUCACCAUAGCAACUUGACAGGAUGAUCUAUGAUUAGAGAAUAAAUAUUAUUUAUAUAUUAUGAGAAUAAUAUAAGUAAUAAUAAUAUUGUAUUUUUUUAAUAUAAGUCAUAAAUUAAUUAGGAAUUAAUUUGGUGACUUAAAGAGAUUAAUUGAAUAAAAGGGCAUAAACUGUCAAUUGUAUGAAAGUUGUACUUUGGGCUGUAAUCCCUUAAGGAUAAGGGGUGGACGGUUUUAGGGCUUUGGAUAGACCUAGAAAUCAUCCAAGGCUUAUCAUAAGGGGAAUUGGAUUGCUUAGGGCCUAAGUUAUCCAAUUAGGGUUUAAGGGUGAAACCCUAGGAGCCUUUAUAGGUAUAAAUAGACCCAAGGGGCCAAUGAAAUCGGCACUCUUGCCUUUGGAAGAACCCUGGCCGAUUUCUUGCUCCCUCCCCUCUCUCUCUAAUCAUCCUCUUGCUAAGUUGGUGUUUGUAAGCCAUUAGAGGAGUGACAAUUGUGACUCUAAGCUCUAAGGACAAGAAGAUUCAAGCAAGAAACUUAAGGUAAUCUUCUAGAUCUGUUUUUCUUAUGUUAUUACCUAUAUCUAUUGUUCAAAAGUCUUGGAUUCAAUGCAUGUUCAAUUAGAGAAACCUAGAUCCAAGCAUUAGGGUUUGUAUGUGCACAUAGGAAUGUUCAUAUGGCUAAAACCCAUCAAGAAGUCCAGUUCUUGGGUCACGUUGUUAACCAAGAAGGGAUAACGGUUAACCCUGCAAAAUCGAAGCUGUAAUGAAGUGGGAACGUCCAAAGAGUCCUACGGAGAUCUGAAGCUUUCUAGGAUUAGCCAGAUAUUAUCGAUGAUUUAUCUGAGGUUUUUCUUUGAUAGAUGCUCUAUUGACAACUUUGACCCACAAAGGAGCUACGUAUACGUGGAGUGAGAAACACAAUGAGGCAUUCGAGAAGCUAAAGAAGAAGUUAUGUGAAGUAUCGAUACUUUCUCUACUCGAUGGAGUUGAAGACUUCGCGGUAUAUAGUGACGCAUCUGGAGUCGGGUUGGGUUGUAUUCUAACCCAGAGAGAAAAGGUGAUAGCAUAUGCAUCUCGACAAUUGAAAGAGCACAAAAAGAACUACCCCACUCACGAUUUAGAGUUGGCAUCGGUAGUUUUCGCUUUAAAGAUAUGGAGGCAUUACCUCUACGGCACGAAGUGCAAGCUUUUCACUGAUCAUAAGAGUCUUCAGUAUCUCUUUAAUCAAAAAGAAUUGAACAUGAGGCAACGACGCUGGCUAGAGUUACUUAAGGACUACGACUGUGAGAUACUUUACCACCCCGGUAAAACAAAUGUUGUCGCUGAUGCUCUCAGUCGGAAAGUCUACCUUGAAAGGAAAAGUCCAAGAGCGUUGAGAAUUGAAGUCGUCUCGACGAUUGUGGAAAGUAUCAAGAAAGCCCAAGAGGAAGCUUUAGAGAAGAAUGACCGAAGAGAAGAACGUUUGGGCAAAACGUUAGUGUUCGGUACAAACAGUCAAGGAUUGAAGGUAUUCCAAGAUCGGAUUUGGGUACCUAAGACGGGAAGAAUAAGAGAUCUUAUGAUGGAAGAAGCACACAAUACCAUGUACUCAAUUCAUCCCGAUAGCACUAAAAUGUAUAGGGACUUAAAACCCUACUACUGGUGGCCGACGAUGAAGCUCGAUGUUGCGAAGUAUGUGGCCGAGUGUGUAACAUGUGCGAGAGUUAAGGCACAACAUCAGAAAUCGUAUGGGAGUUUGGAACCUGUGCCUAUACCCAUGGGUAAAUGGGAAGACAUCACCAUAGAUUUUGUGACCAAACUGCCUAGAACAAAGAGCGGUCACGACAUGAUUUGGGUGGUCGUGGAUCGUUUCACCAAGAGUGCACACUUCAUAGCAGCCAACGAGAAGUGGUCUAUGGAUAAGCUCACAAAUGCUUACGUUAAGGAAAAUUGUAAGACUUCAUGGUGUUCCUCUUAUAAUUGUAUCAGAUCAUGAUAGUCGUUUCACGUUGAGGUUUUGGAGGAGUCUACAAGAGGAGUUGGGUACAUAGUUGUAUUUGAGUACUGCUUACCAUCCGCAAACUGAUGGUCAGAACGAAAGAACGAUUCAGACACUAGAAGAUAUGCUGAGAGCAUGUACCCUCGAAUUCCAAGGGAAUUGGGACGAGCACUUUCCUUUGGUAGAAUUCUCCUACAACAACAGUUUCCACUCGAGCAUCAAGAUGGCACCUUAUCAAGCCUUGUACAGAUAGAAGUGUCGUAGACCGUCUUUUUGGCUUGAAGCCGGAGAGAAACAGUUUAUGGGCCCCGAGAUAGUCCAUGAAACUGCUGAGAAACUAAAGGUGAUUAGGGAAAGGAUGUUAGCAGCUCAGGAUCGUCAGAAGAGCUAUGCUGACAAGAAAAGACGAUCGAUGACCUUCGAAGUUGGGGAUUCGGUUUUGCUUAAAGUCUCACCGUGGAAGGGACUUAUAUGAUUCGGGAAACGAGGGAAGUUGAGUCCAAGGUUUAUUGGGCCGUUCAAAGUUCUUCAGAUGAUUGGUAACCAAGCUUACAAGCUGGAAUUGCCCGAAGAACUCGAUGGUAUACAUAACACCUUCCAUGUGUGUUAUUUGAGGAAAUUCAUGCGAUAAGUUCCCGACAUAAUUCCAAUCUCAGAGUUAAGGAUGGAUGCGAAUAAAAGGCUGAUCGAAGAGCCUAGGGCAAUUGUUGACCGUAAGACUAAGAAGUUACGACGCAAGAUGGUCGACUUAGUGCUAGUCCGAUGGAAACAUUCGAAUGGGUCGAAUCUCACUUGGGAAACAGAGGAUGACAUGAUGAGUUUCUAUCCACAUCUGUUUGCUGAUGCAUGAUUCCGGGACGGAAUCAUCCUAAGGGGGAGAGAAUUGUAACACCCGGGUUUCAGGGCUAAUCAUUUUUGACAAUGUAAUAGUCUAGGUCAACUCUUGUAACUCUUUUUGAAGUAAUAAAGAUGAAAUAUUUGAGUAUUAUGUGAAUUAUGUGUAUUUAUGUGCUUAUUGUUUAAUUAUAAAUGUAUAAUUAAUAAAGAAUAAAAAUAAGCAUCAAAAUUAAAGUGUAAGAUAAGCCCGAUAUCUUUAUAAAAAGUUGUAGUGGUCGAAACAAGGAUUCCGGGGAUAUAAAGAACGCCGAAAUCCGAGUUAUAACGAAAAAGUUAUGACCCGUUGAAUUUACGAUAGAAGGAGAUUUAGCCUUAGCGAAUUUAAACGAAAGUUGUAGAAUAUGUUAAACUAAGAGCGUCGAUAAAAAGAACACCCAAAUCUGACUUCGUAUGAGGAAGUUAUGAUUUUUCGAAGUUUCAGAUUAGUAGUGUACAACCCGAAAUUCGAAUGUUAGAUCGAGCGGUUUUUAGUCGACAUGACCUGAACGAGAAUCGUAGAUCUCGUUAAGCGUAGCGUAACGAGAAAAAGAUGGGCAAAAACAGAUGUCGGAUGAAGAAGUUAUGAGAAUUUAAUGGACCAAUCCUGUCCCGGCCUGUUAAUAAUAUAACUUUUAAAAUGGAGCCAAAAUUAGCCGACAGAGUCUAAACGAAAGUUGUAGAGUACGUUCCCACCUUCGCGUGGAUAUAAAGAAUGUCGAAAACGGAGCUCGUACGCGAAAUUUACGAAUUUUUAAAGUUGAAGCAUGAAAUUACGAAGCCUGUUGCAAAUCUGAUGACGUGGCGCGAUCUACUCCAUCCAUCGCUGAUCUAGCCUCGCAUCCGAUGAUCGCCACGUCGCCCUCGCAUACGCCCCGCAUCAGAAGUCGGUACACCCCGCAUACCCUCGCCCUUAUCCGUCCGAGACCGAGUGCAAGCCAGCUGGAUCCUCCCGGCAAGCUUAUGCGAACUACGCCUCGCAUAGUGUUGUUGUACGCCCAUCGUACGACCGAGGGCUUGCACCUAUAAAUAGGCUGCGAGAGCUGCCGAAGAAAAACACACAAAAACCCUUCUCUCUCUAAAAUCUUUCUCUCUCUAAGGUUCCAAACCACCCCUAAACCCUAGGAAAAAUCCCUUAGCUCCCGAGGGAAGCCCCAAGGCUCCCAGAGUCCCGAGAAAAAGUGUCUUUCGGUUUCGAAACGCUGCUCCAUAUAAAUCCCGAUUUUCUUUAAAAUCCGUUGUAAGUGAGCUACGCUUACGCAACUUUUAAUAUAGCUUUCAAAUAAUUAUAGUAAUGUUAUUAGGUCCUUAAAAUAAUUAUUUGGGCUAUUAUUAUGAGUUAUAUUGAGUGUUAUUUAACGCUUAUAUAAUAAUAAUAAUAGUCAGACUAUUAAUUUGUCGCGAUUNGUUAAACUAAACCCUAGUGGUAUCGAUACUAGGUUUUAUCGAAGGAAUAUCGUUUUGAGAGUAUCGAAGCGCUGUCCGAGUGCUGAGUCACCACCUUUUCAGGUGAGUGCAUAGUUACUUUCAGCUUACACAUAGAUAUGAAGUAUUUUAUAUAAAUUACGUGCUAUGUGUGCAUAUUAUCUGAAUACUUGCUAUCUAUGCUGGAUGAACGUUUUAUACAUGUUUUAAAUGAUUUAAACUGUAUAUGUAUUUUAUACCUACGAAAAUGUUGGGAAAAAACAUGGGUAGAUGUAUUAGUUGCUGUGUGAUAAAAUGAAAUAAUGAGAGGCCUCGUUAUAGAUGUUAUUGAUGAUCCAGUCAUGUAGCGGAGUAUAGAUGACGACCACAGUCUAUUCUAGACAGUCCAGUGGAACACUAGCAUGCUCGCAACCUGUUGGUGUUUAUUUGAACUAUGUGUUUAUUUGAACUGUGUGCUCACCAGGUGUAAUCCAUCCCCCACAUGGCUGCCUUAAGGACAUUUAUUGCUGAGGAAUCCCCUUAGCAGUAGUGUCCGUCCCGAUGAUGAUCCUUAGGCUAGGUCCCUUAUGAUAGGUGUUUAGGGACGUAAAGUGAGGAUAACGGGAACGGGUAAUCGGGUUAUUGUUGAUUGAUGAAAUUAAUAAACUUAUUUAUUGUGGGUUGAAAACCCUAUGUGCUCACCAGGCUCCCAAGCCUGACCCACUCAGUUUUAUGUAUUACAGGUAGUGGCGCAUGAGCAUAGGUGUGAUGUUUUGGACGAGGGAUUACGGAUAUAGGCCUGUAGAUAUGAAAUAAUGUAGUAAGGCUUAUAUUGUACUGUUUAUGCUUUUGAUCUGUACGAACAUGACAUCCCAAUCCUUUUAAUGAAAUACAUUUCUAUGGAAAUGCUUUUGAUAAAUCUUUAUCAUAUUUUGUUUUGGGACAAAUUCCGCAACACUUUUAUUUAAAAUGUUACUCUGAUUUUUAAACAAAGCAUAAACAAAAUCGGUCUUUUGUGGCCGUGAAAAUGGGGAUGUCACAUUAUGAUCUUAAUGACCUAUCAUAUGAACAAGGAGGAGGUCACACUCAGCAAGCUUCAAGUAAUUUUGAAGACCGCUAAAAGUGGUCUCAAAAGUAAAUCAGUUGUUACUACUCCUCCUCCUAACACCGCCCUGUUCUAGAAGACGGGCAAGGUAGAGGGAAAAAGAGGAAGACCCCUUCGAAGGGUACCAAGGGAAAUUCUCUUGGUGGCUCCUCUUCGAGUGGAACCAAAGGUGGUUCUGUCACUCCUUCUUCCAACCCAAAAGAAGCUGAAUGCUUCUAUUGUCAUGAUAAGGGGCACUGGAAACGAAACUGCCCCAAGUACCUGCAAGAUGUUAAGGAUGGGAAGAUUAAACCUACCUAUGCAGGUAUUUACACUAUAUUGUCUAAUAACUCACCGCAUACUAAUUCUUAGGUCCUCAAUAUAGGUUGUGGUAUUCAUAUAUGUUCUGAUUUGCAGGGCCUAAGAAGAAGUGAGGAUGUGGAGCACGGAAAGAUAAACUUGAUCAUGGGGAAUAGGAAAGCUUCACCAGUCACCAAGAUUGAAGUUUAUUCUUUAUUGCUGAGUAGUGGGUUAAUAUUAGAUUUGAAUAACUGUUGUUACUCGUCUGAAAUGGCGAGAAAUAUUAUUUCUUUUCACGGUUUGUACAAACAAGGAUAUACUUUUUUCAUUUGAUAAUGAAUGUGGUGGUAAUAAUGUUUUUUAUAAUAAUGUUCUUUAUUUUAAAGCAUUACCUUGUGAUGGUGUAUAUGAAAGUGUGUCGGCUGUAGAAAACCUAGGAAACAAUGUGUUGCAUAUUGAUUCUUCCACUAGUUUGGACAAAGCAUCCUUGUGGCAUUGUCGUCUUGGACAUGUUAAUAAGAAGUGCAUAGGCCAACUCCAAAAGGUUGGAGUCUUGGAAUCAUUUGACUUAAAGUCGGAUGAUAGUUGUGAGUCUUGUUUUCUUGGAAAAACGACAAAGUCACCCUUCACUGGUACUUGUGCUAAGGGUGAAGGUUUGUUAGACCUCAUACACACAAAUAUGUGUGGACCCUUCAGAACAGCCGCAAGGUAUGCUAGCCGCUUCUAUGUGACUUUUACUGAUGAUUACAGUGGAUAUGGUUUUGUCUACUUAAUCAAGCAUAAGUCAGAAACCUUCAAAAAGUUCAAGGAGUUUAAACAAGAAGUGGAGAAUCAGUUGGGAAGGAACAUUAAUAUGCUUCGAUCCGAUCGAGGUGGAGAGUAUCUUGGUACAUAUUUCAUUGACUAUCUUAAGGAAUGUGAAAUUGUUUCACAAUCGAUACCUCCUAGAACACCAUAGCUUAAUGGUGUGGUUGAGAGGCAAAAUCGAACCUUAUUGGAUAUGGUUCGUUCCAUGAUGAGUUGAGCUUCGUUACCAGUCUCAUUUUAGGGGUAUGCCUUAGAGACUGCCACCCAUAUCCUUAAUCUAGUCCCUAACAAGAAGGUUGCCAAAACACCUCACGAGAUGUGGAAUGGGAAAUUUCCCACUUUAGACCACAUCAAGAUUUGGGGUUGCGAGGCUUUCGUGAGACGUGAGACUCACGACAAGCUCAAACCUCAUAGCGAGCAGUGUAUAUUCAUCGGCUACCCACAAAAAUCUUUUGGUUACCUCUUCUACAGACCCAAUGAGAAUGUGGUCAUUGUGGAAAGGAGAGGGGUCUUUCGCAAGAUAGAAUUCAUAAGCCAAAGAAAUAGUGGGAGGCAAAUUAACCUUGAAGAGCUUCAAGAGUCAAGUGGUGAAGGAACCACAAACCCUAGCAAUCAACUUGAGGAGGAAACUCCUGUUGAGCCAACUGACGAACCUGUACCUCUGAGGCAUUCCACUAGAGUUAGGAAUCCACCGAAGCAUUACUAUGGUUUCCAUAUUACUUCGAAACGUGAUACAUUUAUCAGUGAUAGUACACUGGUAAAUUUGGAUGAACCUAACAGCUAUAGGGAAGUCAUGGUAGGCCCUGAGUCAGCUAAAUGGAAAGAGGCUAUGGACAGUGAGAUUCAGUCCAUGUAUGACAAUAAUGUUUGGAACUUGGUUGACAAUGUACCAGGUCGUAAGACGGUCGGGUGAAAAUGGAUCUUCAAGAAGAAGACCGACAUGGAUGGGAAAGUGCACACUUAUAAGGCGCGAUUGGUUGUGAAGGGCUUCACUCAAACUCAACGAGUUGACUAUUAUGAAACCUUCUUACCAGUAGCGAAGAUUAAGUCUAUUAGGGUUAUGCUAGCCAUUGCUGGAUUUCAUGAUUAUGAAAUAUGGCAAAUGGAUUUCAAAACCGCUUUCCUUAAUGGAAAGUUGGCUAAAGAUGUUUACAUGAGUCAGCCAGAGGGUUUUGUCAAUGCAGAGUACCCUGAUAGAGUGUGCAAGCUUGAGAAAUCUAUUUAUGGAUUGAAACAUGCAUCUCGCAACUGGAAUCUUUGUUUUAAUGAGAAAGUCAAAGAGUUUGGUUUUUCGAGAACCGAAGAUGAGUCAUGUGUAUAUGUUAGAGCUAGUGGGAGUAUAGUUAGCUUUUUGGUACUGUAUGUGGAUGACAUACUACUCAUAGGAAAUAACAUCCCAACUUUGCAGGAGAUUAAAUCCUGGCUUGGGAAGUGUUUCGCUAUGAAGGACCUUGGAGAAGCUACCUAUAUCCUAGGUAUAAGGAUAUUGAGAGAUAGGAGUAAAAUACUAAUUGGAAUUAGUCAGAGUCCCUACUUGGACAACGUGUUGAAGAGGUUUAACAUGCAGAAUUCCAAGAAAGGCGAUUUACCGAUCCAGAGCAAUGCCAAACUAAGUAAGGCUUAGAGCCCGCGUACAGAGGCUGAGAUAGCUGAGAUGAUCGAUUACCAUAUGCUUCCACUGUUGGCUUGAUCAUGCAUGCUAUGACUUGUACCCGCCCUAAUCUGGCCUUUGCUUUGAUCAUGGUAAGCAAAUAUCAGGGGAGCCCUUGCAAGGCUCACUAGACUGCGGUAAAGAACAUUCUUAAGUACAUGCGAAGGACUAAGGAUUGGAUUCUUACCCAUGGUAGGAGUGAUGACUUGAGAGUAGUAGGGUAUAGCAAUGCCAACUCUCAGACCGACGGGGAUAACUUCCACUCUCAGUCAGGCUGGGUGUUUACCCUGAAUGGAGGAGCUAUUACGUGGAAAAGUUCCAAGCAGGAGAUCAUGGCAGAUCCAGACAGAGAUAACUUUCAGACCGACAUCAAUGUUUCAGUUACCUUAGCCAAGGAACCGAGAGAUCAUGGCAAAUCCAGACACAUUGACAGAAAAAUAUCACUUCAUAAUACACAAGAUAGAAGAAGGACUCCUCGUGACAAACAGGGUAUCGUCAAAAGAUAACCAAACAUAUCCCCUCACGAAGGGACUCACUAAGGUUAGGCAUUUGCAACAUGCGAGGCGCAUCGUUCUGAAGGACGAUAUUAGUUUUACAGAUUAGAUAGCUAUCUCUGAAACUUGUAAAAUGUAAUUGAAAUUUGAUGAUUAAAUAAAAGUUGUUGUUUAUUUAUAAGUAAGGUGUUGCUAUUUUGUGUCAAUCGCUUACUAUUGUUAAAACUUUGCAUGUUUUGACUUCCAGAAUAAUUACUUUAUUCAAACUCUCCACAGUCGGUCAUAUGUUGGAAGUAGGUAUGAAUCAAUAAUGUCAUGAAUUAUGCUUGUAGAUGUCUAAGGUGUUAGUAGCAAAAGUUGCUACAACAUUCAUGAGUGCUCAUAAGUUCUGAGUAUUGGAUUAAACCCACACUCACUUGUAUCACUUCAUGUAAUUUAUCUCGAGUGAUCGUGAGACGGUAAUAUCAUAUAAGUCUUCAAACCUAGAGAUAUGACUUGUUGACUAUGAUUUGGUUGUGCAUUGAUUGCACGAAAACACAUCAGUAACUUGAUGUUAUAAAACGUGCCUUUGUAUAUCAUUCAACAAGUAGUAGUGACAAGCAUAUGAGUCGAAGUUUAUCUGUUCCUUUUAAUCAUUGGAGGAUUAGAAGCGAUAUCUGGACCCCUCGAUGAUUUUGUUUUGAUCUAUGUUUCGGCCCAGUCAUAACCAAAUUCAUGUGUUCCGUUUAGUUCUAUGUCAAACAAAUCAGAAAUCGGGAAACAAACUGAUGGACAAUAAGUACGACGUUGUUCCAUGUAUUUGUCCGGCUGAUAUCUUGAGAACAGAGGAUUAUAUGAUCACUUAUCUAAAAUGGCACUUCAUAGUUCAACAGAGUUUUAAGAGCUACGAUUGCUAGUCGGUUCUUGAAGUCAUACUUGCAACUAUAGUUAUCAGACUUAUCCAAGUGGGAGACUGUUGGAUAAGGUGUCUAAGUCUGUAACUAUAUUUGGUAUGUACUAGACCCGACCCAACUGUUGGAUUAAUGUCUAAGUCCAUAACUAUAUUUGUUAUGUACUUGACCCGACCCGGCAUGGUCCAUUUGGGUUGCACUUCACCGACACAAUUUAUAUGGAUAAUCUUUUGAGAAUAGUAUGUUUAUGAUUAAUAUUAAUAUAUUAUAAGUUCUAAUAUAUUAAUAUGGAAUCAUAUUAUUUAAUUAGUAUUGAUCAAGAAUUAAUUUAUAAUUAAUUAAGUGAUCAAAAGGAACUAAUUAAAUAUGGACUCUUAUAUAUAUGGAAUGGGCCAAGUUCAUUUAGGUUGGGCUAAGCUUUCAUGGAUAGUCCAUGGAGUGUUUAACCCAUGGAUCCUAGGAAAUGAAAGGUCAUGGGUAUUAGGGUUUAACCCUAAUCCUCCAUACUAUAUAAAGAUGUCUUUGGUUGGUGAAAUUGGCACUAGUGUGGAUACACUAAAGAAGGGCUAGCCAAUUUCACUAGAGAGAACCAAGUAAUCAUAUUCUCUAAAGUAUUCCAAGGUGUCUUGGUGAUUUGUGAUUCCACUUGAGGCUUCCACACUAUUGGGGCUAAGCUCUUAAAGCUUGAAGACAUCAAGCUACAUCAAGAGGUAUGUAUUCUAUCUUGUUACAUUCAUAGUUNUAAGAACUUCAUAAUAUGCUAGUUAGGAUUAAAGCCUUGGAAAGUUCUUAUUUGCAUGUAUUAUAGAGAAAACAUAGAUCCAAGGUUUAUAGGGUUGCAUGUACACCAUAGGAGUGUUAGAAUGCUCAAAACCCAACACCAGCAUGGUCCAUUUGGGUUGCAUUUCACCGAAACAAUUUCUAUUGAUAAUCUUUUAAGAAUAGUAUGUUUAUGAUUUAUUAAUAUAUUAAUAUGAAAUCAUAUUAUUUAAUUAGUAUUGAUCAAGAAUUAAUUUANNNNNNNNNNNNNNNNNNNNNNNNNNNNNNNNNNNNNNNNNNNNNNNNNNNNNNNNNNNNNNNNNNNNNNNNNNNNNNNNNAUAUAUAUAUAUAGAAUGGACCAAAGUUCAUUUAGGAUAGGCUAAGCUUGCAUGGAUAGUCCAUGGAGGUUUUAACCCAUGGAUCCUAUGGAAAUGAAAGGUCAUGGGUAUUAGGGUUUACAUGGAUGUAACCCUAAUCCACCAUACUAUAUAAAGAGGUGUUUGGCACAUGAAAUGGCACUACUAUGUGUGAUAGAGAAGGUGGGCCAAUUUCUAUUUUGCAUUACUAUUCUCUUAAAGUCUUCCGAGUUGUUUUGGUGAUUUGUGAUUCCACUUGAGGCAUCCACAUUAUUGGUGUUAGGGUCUUGAAGCUCCACGCAAUCAACCACAAGAAAAGGUAAGUCAUUCUACUAGUUUUUAUAUUACAAGUACCCCAUGAUAUGCUAGCUAGGUUGAGAACCUUGGAUAAAUCAAAUUUGCAUGUAUAAUAGAGAAAACAUAGAUCCACGGUUUCUAGGGUUGCAUGUACACUAUAUGAGUGUUAGAAUGCUCAAAACCCUUCAGAAGGUUUGAUCGUUAACUCAGAUGAUGAAUCCAUUGCUUUUUACUCCAACAGCAAAGUAAAGAAAUUUUAUAAAAAGCCAUUUGGUUCAAAAGUAAGGACUGGAGAGGCAAAAGUAAGUUUUGCUGGAAAAGUGAAUCAGGAGAAGAAGUUCGAGAAGAAAGAAUCAAAGACUAAAUAUUCGAAAGUUGAAAAGAAGCUCAAAGGUGACUCAGGUGUCGAUUGUCACUAUUUUCAUGGGGCAAAUCAUAUGGCAAGUGAUUGUACGCUUCAAAAGAAAGAGGAGAAGAAGAGUAAGAUUAAAGAUGAAGUGUAUUAUGUCGAACGUUUGGAAGAAGUGAAAGCAAAGGCAAAAGGUUUGUCUCUGGUGGCGAAAGGAGAAUGUGAGGAUGAAGGAACGUAUCAAAUUUGGUCUUCCGGUUCCGAUGACGAAGAGAUGCGUAAUCCUACGCAUGGGGCAAUGUAUGAUAAGUUUGAGGAAGAUGAGGAAGAAGAGGAGAUUGUUCAUUGUUUUAUGACUAAGAAUGGAGACAAAUCACCUAUGAAAACGAAGGUACGUUCUAUUCUUCAAUCUUUCAAUAUUCCUUUAUGUGCUUAUGAUUAUGAAUUAAUUGCUUUUGAUGAUACUAUUGCUUAUUUUGAUAAUUUGGUUAUCUCUACUAGUAAUGAGGCUAAGAAAUCUAGUACUCAGUUACUAGAAGUUCAUAAGCAGUUGGAUUCGAAGAAAACAAAAGUAGGAUAUCUUGAGUUGCAAAUUACUAAUCUCAUGUGUGAUAGGGACAAUUUGAAUAAUGAAGUUCGCAUGUUAUUAGCACAAAGAAACAUAUAUUGUAACUCCGCUAAGAGACUUUAUGCAAAAUUAACUGCUUUGCAUCACUCUUCUGAUAUAAGCAAAGAGCAACAUAGGAAGUUAUUACCAUUCUUAGCUUAUGAAAGAGAAAAGAUUGAUUGUGUGUCUUAUGAUUGCGAAAAGACAAUAGCUGAGUUUGGUAAAGUGUCUGGUAAUAGAUUUGCUUAUGGAAUUGUGAAAAUAGAUAAAUUUUUGGAUGCUAAUGAAUUAGUUGACAUUGUGAAUGAAACCUUAACCAAGAAUGAACAAAUAAAUAUUUUGAAAAGGACUAAGACUUCGAAAUUUGACUCUCAAUCUAAUUUUGUUGAUCUCGAAGAUAAUUCUGAUACUAUCAGUGAAAUCACAUAAAUUGAGGAAGAUGAAGAAAUUGAUUGCUCUCGGUUGCCAGUCAUUAAUGUCACUUCAAAGGUUAACGGCAAAGAAAAAUAAAAUUAUUCAUUGGACAAGACUAACGUUGACCAACCCUCAACUUCGAAAGUUUGUGAUGAUGAAUAUGUAAGUGUCAGAGAUAGUCAAACCGACAGCAUUGAUGAUGAGGAGGAUAAUGACGAAAUUUCGAAAUAAUUAACCCCAACAAAAGAUGUUUCAAAAGAAAAUGAAAUAUCAAGAGUUGUUGUAGAUAAGGUGUAUGGUGAAAUAGAAAAUUUCAACAAAAUGAUAAAAGAAAAAGGUGCCCAUUACCUUGAAACACAUUCAGUUGUGUAUCCAAAUUUCAAGUGUACCGAUGAUGUUAUCUUUCCAAAUCAAGUGUUUGUGACAACUGGGAAAUUUGAUCAGAUCAAACCUGAGUUUAACAAAAUGCUAGAAGAAGAUAAUAAGAAAACAUCGAAUGAAGGUUUCUUUUCCAAUCAAAGCAUUGUCGAAAACAAUCUUACCAAGAAUUCCUACACAUUUCAAAGACAAAAACCACAAAGAAAAUGGGUUGAAAAAACAUAAACUUCAAAGAAACUAGUUGAUGUUGAAAUUGUGAUUUCAAAUGUUAAAAUAAAUUCACAAGAGUUUAAAGACAAAAUUGACGAGUUCUCCAAAGAACAUGGGAUUUCAAAAAGACAAGCGCGAAAGAAUUUUUUUUUGCAAAAUGUUGAGUCUCGAAAGAAACAAAAUAAUUUGACAAAGAAAACAACUGAAAGAACAAUGUAUGAAAAGGUUAAGACAAAAUUUUCGUCAAAUUCAAGUAACAAGAAGAAUCCUGUUUUGUCUAAAAAGAAUGUAUCUUAAUCAACAUCACAAAAUGAUUUUUCGAUAAUAAAAAAUAACGAAACAAAGUUUUUGUCACAAAAUCAUAAUCAAAAACUGAAAGAAAAGGAAUUUUCAAAAUUUCAAUAAUUCAAGAAGUUUCAAUUUUCUAAUCAAACAAGAAAUCAAAGGGUUUUCAAUGGGGGGUUUUCAAAGUCAACUCAAUCUCAAAAUAACUCAACAUCUUAUCAAUUUCGAAAUCACACACAACAAGGUUUUGUACCAAAUAAUGAAAAUAAAAAGAUUGCACAAUUACACACAAAAUGGAAUGCUAAAUAUAAACCUCAGCAACCGAAUUUUCCUAAUCCUCUUGCCAAAAACGCCUUUAAAGUCUCAUAUACCAAGGGUCGGUCCAAUGUGAAAAACUACGAUCAUUGGUUUGAAGGGAAAGGAAAAUCUUAUCAAACAGGAAAAUUCUCUCAACAACAAAUCAAAAAUGUUUAUGAGAAGUAUUUCAAUGAAAUGUCUAAUGUUAGUUCAUCGUCAAAAGAUUCGACAUCUUCAGUCCAAGCAUGGUGUCCAGUUUCGAAAGAAAAGACUACAAGGCCACAAACUGAGAAGCAAAAGGUGAAAGUCAAUGAAAGUCCUAAACUUUCGAAAUGUUAUAUUUUUGAGCCUUUAUCAAGUGAAGUGGACUAAAUCAAUAGUGUCAAAUCUAAAGUUCGUAAUUGGAUAUUAGGUUCUUCAUUUCAUAAUGUGUUUCAAACUAAUCAUAAAGACCCAAACAACCUUGGGUACCUAAUUUUUUUUCACUAAUUGCAGGUUUUGUGUGACGAGCAAUAUGAUGAAAAAUGGUAUAUCGAUAAUGGUUGCUCUCGUCACAUGACAGGAAGGAAAGAAAAUUUACGCGAUUUUCGAAGAUUGAAGAAUGCAGGAGUUGUAAAGUUUGGCAACAAUCAAAAAUGUCAAGUUAAAGGAUAUGGUAAAGUAACAAAUGGGAAAUUCACUGUCAAUCGUGUUGCUGAUGUCGAAGGUCUUCAACAUAACUUGAUAAGUGUUUCACAACUUGUAGUGGGCACUAGUGAUCAAGUGGUGUUCAAUGAAGAAGGAAGUAUAAUUUCGAAUGUCAACACUAACGAAGUUUUGCUUAAAUCAAAACGAUAUGGAGAUAUGUUCAUUCUCGACAUUAAACCCAUUGUUGGAAUACCCUUGGUGUGCUUACUUUCGAAAGCUUCUUCAGAUGUUAGCUGGCUUUGGCAUUGACGUCUUUCACACUUGAACUUUCGAAAUCUAAAUAAAUUGGUGGUAAAUGAUCUUGUGAUAAUGGUUUUGGAGUUUAUCAAGAAAAUCGAAAGAAUUUUGAAGAAGAAAGUUCGAAAAAUCAAGAGUGAUAAUCGUUUGGAGUUUAAGAACAAUGUUCUUGAUUCAUUUUUAACUGACAAAGGAAUUUCGCACAAUUUUUCUUCACCUUACACACCUCAUAAAAAUGGUGUUGUUGAAAGGCGAAAUUGGACUCUUUGUGAAGCAAAUAGAACGAUGCUUACAUAUGUGAAUCUUCCUCAAUACCUGUAGGCUGAAGCAGUUUCUACUGCAUGUUUUACACAGAACCGCUCCUUUAUUCAUCGAAGAUUCAAUAUUACUCCGUAUGAAAUUAUCAAUAAUCAAAAACCUAAUGUCAAAUUCUUUCAUGUUUUUGGCUGUAGGUGUUUUAUUAUGAAUUUCAAGGAUAAUCUUUCGAAAUUUCAGUCCAAAGCUGAUGAAGGCAUUUUCUUGGGAUAUUCUCAUAAUUCAGUUGCCUAUCGAGUAUUGAAUAGACGAACACGAAAAAUUGAAGAGACAUUCAAUUUAACUUUCGAUGAUUAUUAUAUCAAACCUGUUGAAAAAUGUUUCGAAUAACAACCAAUUUUUAAUGAAUCAAAAGAUGAAUCUGAAAGUGUUAAUUCGUUUGAAAGGAGUAUGAUGGGAAAAAUAAACAACUUUCUGGGAUUGAAUAUUCGUCAAAGCAGAGAAGGAAUUUUUCUAAAUCAAGAAAAAUACCCAAAGAAUCUGCUUGAGAAAUUUGGAAUGACGAAUAGCAUGAAGUUACGAGUACCAAUGGCGGUUGGAACAAGGCUCGAUCCUUCAUUAGAUAAACCUGCUCUUGAUAUUACAUUAUAUAGAAGCAUGAUAGGUUUCUUACUUUACCUUACGGAAAGUCGACCUGAUAUUAUGUUUUCUGUUUGUAAUUGUGCUAGGUAUCAAUCGAAUCCCAGAGAACCACACUUGACUGCAAUGAAAAAUAUUUUUCGAUAUCUCAAAGGAACAAUUUCGUUAGGAUUGUGGUAUCCAUCAAAAAAGGCUUCUUCAUACAAGCUUUUUCGGAUGCUGAUAUGGGAGGUUGCAGUCUUGAUCAUAAAAGUACAACUUGUGGAUGUCAAUUUUUAGAUGGGAAGCUCGUAAGGUGGCAGUCGAAGAAACAAACAUGUGUUUCAAUUUCCACAAUAGAAGCAGAAUAUAUUGCUGCUGCAGCUUGCACUUCACAAAUAAUUUGGAUUCAAAGUCAAUUACAAGAUUAUGCAAUAAACAUGAAGAAGAUUCCAUUAUAUUGUGAUUCACAAAGUGCUAUACGCAUUUGUCACAAUCCAGUACAACAUUCGAAAACAAAUCAUAUUCCAAUUCGUUAUCAUUUUAUCAAAAAUCAUGUGGAAGAUGGAAAUAUCGAAGUUCACUUUGUAAAAACAACUGAUCAGCUUGCUAAUAUUUUUACAAAGUCUUUAGAUGAAAAUUAUUUUGUUAGAAUACUAAAUGGACUGGGAUUGAUCGAAGCUAAUUUUGUGCCAGGUCUUAUUUCGAAAGAAUAACAAGAGGAAAAGGUGAAAAAGUGUCGAUUCAGAGGUGUUGAGUGUUCAUUCAGAGGUCAUAGCUUGCCAUUCAGAGGUUAAUGUUCAUGUUCAGCGCUUCGACACGCUUCGAUUUCGACAUUGAGUACAAAUAGCUUAAUCAUAUAAUUGCAUUAUUUUAGUACAAAACUAUUUUGUCUUUCAAUUUUCAAAAAAUCAAAAAGAACAAAAAGAUUUUAUUUUUGUUUCGUCUUUUAGUUUUCGAAAAAUCAAAAAGAACAAAAAGAUUUUAUUUUUGUUUCAUCUUUUAAUUUUCGAAAAAUCAAAAAGAACAAAAAGAUUUUAUUUUUGUUUCGUCUUUCAGUUUUCGAAAAAUCAAAAACUACAAAAAGAUUUUAUUAUUUUUGGUGUUUGUACUUUAUUUUCUUAUUGCAGCUUUUGGCAAAGAUCAUCAAUGGUUCAUGCUUGCAGUUCUAGGGUCAGGUAUAUUUUUCGAAAAACUUUGCACUAGUUAGGUUGUCCCUAGAAGCAUGUUGCAGCAUGUUGACCUAAGCCUCCUUUGACUCAAUGUGUGUUUUCAAAGCCUUAAUGAAGUUUUCAUCAUGAAAAUUUCUUCCCAAUCAGGCUAUCUUCACAUUAGUCCUUGAGCUAUCUUACUCUUCUCAUUGGAGUUAAGAGUUUACUGCUUGGUCAAUACAUAGCAGAGGUACUUACGAAUCUUUUACCAAAUCUUUUUCAUCCUAAAGUUCUUACACUUUCACACACAAUGACAUAUGUCCAAGAGAUUUCUGGUAUAAACCAAUCAGGAUCUAGACAUAUCAAAAAUAUGUGUUUAUGAUCUAACAUCAUGAGACCGUGAUGAAAGUGAAACCCUAAAUGUCGAAACAAAUUAAGGAAUUGACAGGGAACUUUGUUCCAGACUUCACGAAACUUUUGUUUCAGUACCUGAUUUCGAUACUCAAAAUCAUAUUCUUUAUUUGUUGUAAUCUUGAUCAAAUGUUCAAACCCAUGAGAUUUGUUACCCAACAAGAUUGAAAAUUGCUUUUGGUUCGAGAAUAUGAUUUAUGUCUGAGUAUCAUUCACAAAUUCAUUACUUCAUAAAUUUCUCAAAGCUUACUUAUCACUGACUACACUGCUCAAACAUGUAGUUUCGUUUACAACUUGUCAUACUUAUGUUGAAUAUGCAUUGUAUCGGAAUUUUGAACCACCUUUAAAGCCAUAAUAAAAGAAGCCCUUCGAUACUUAUCAUCAAGUAUUCGAUUGUAAUUCACGGGAAGCCACAUAAGCAGUUGAUCAUCUCUCUUGAUGAUUAACAAAGUAAUCUUAGCCCGGGGUUUAUCUGCUUUCAUGUCGAAAUUUUAUUUUCACCAUCACAGAUCCAAAUUUUUUUUUAUAUUGUUUCUUAUCUUUUUCAUCGGCACACAACACUCACUAAAUCCUUGAGGUUUUGAGUAUUACCAACUCAGGCUGAGGAUUUCAAAAGUAUGGCAUAUGACUUCGUUUUCAAAACCCAAAAACAAAAGAGCCCAACCUCCAUUCCAAAGAUUUGGUCCUUAUCCACAAGUACUCACGAAAGGACGUAUGAGGUGAUUGUUUAGUAACUGUUCAUGUUUAUCGGAUAUCGUGACCUACACUUUAUCUGACAUGAUGUCUUUAACGGCUAGUGGUGCAACUUUCAAGGGCCACGUGUACACGACAUUUAUGGACUAUGGUAACCAUUUGAGAUUCACAUUUGGGAUACAUAUAAAAAGGGAAAUUGGGUCUUCAUUCCAAUUUUUACGCGUACUAAAAAUUCUCAAGGCAACUAAGAGCUAUCAUUCCUCUUUGUUCUUUACGUUUUCAAGAAAAACCAUAGUUAUGGCUGCUCCUCAAUCCAACACUACUGAGGAUAUCUCUUCUCAACCCAUUGUGAAGAUUCAGAGUACCAAUUAUCAAGUGGAUGGUGAUGUUACUGUGUACCCCGAAGAACUCAAGAUGCUCAUUGUUGCUUUACAACAUUCAAUUUUAUUGACUGCAAUGUUCAGUUCUUUUGAUGUUCCCAUUUCAUGGCUUUCAAUUGUUGGGUCUACUGCCUCAUACAACAAGACGAUGGAUAUUGUGACCUUCAAUUUGAUCACUGAUAAGAAGUUUCAUCUUACCAAGAAGUUGUUUGCCAAAAUCCUUGAAAUCCCUCAUUCUCCACCAUUAAUCUACAAAGUUACUAAUGAACACGUGUUACACAUGUUCAAUGAGAUGGGUUAUCAACCUACUCUCUUGAAGAUCAGCGAAUUCAAGAAGCCCGGUCUUCCCAGUAUACAGAAUUUUCUUUUUGGGAUUUACCUUCGAUGCCUCAUAGGUUGAAGUGUUAGUUUAGACAAAGGAUGAAUGGAGGUGUAUGCUAUGGUCACAGGCAUUUACUAUGAUCUACCUUUUGACUAUGCGACUCAGAUAUGGAAAGAAUUUUUGAAGAGUGUUGAAAACACGAAUGCAGUAGAUGGGGUUUCAUGUGCAAGGUAUUGGAUUUUAAUUCUUCGAUACGCUUAUGAAAAAGGAAGGUGUUUUGGUGUCUGCUGAUGAGCCGAAAGCAGAAUUCGUGAAGUAUCAUUACCCAAAGACGAUUGAAGAUGAUGUGAGUAUCCUUCCUUUAGUUGCUAGGAUUCCUGAUGGGAUGCUCAAUAAGGUUGAUCCUUCAAAUCCAGUGUUGGAGGCAUAUUUACUCACUAUCAGCACAAAUAAUGGCAUUGGUGCUUUGUUGGAAAAACAUGAUGAAGGUUCUUCAAAGAAAUAUCGAAAACAAAAGACAACUGAUGAUGUUCCUGAAGAAAAAUUUGAUCAAUCACCCAAGAAGAAGGAUGGAGUAGUGAUUAAAGUUUCAAAGAAGUCAAAUAAAAAUGUUGAGCCUGAAACUGUUACACCUUCAAAGGAAAUUCUUCCUUUGAAAACUGGUGUAUUCAAGAGGCUUAAAAAGAAAGCUCAUAGAUCACGCAUUUCUCCUGAACGAUCUGGUAGUUUUUCUCCUUCUGUUGUUCGUAAGUCGCGUGUUACACGAAAAAGUCCUAUAAUUCAUGAGAUUCCUAUACCUGUUUCUCCGGCAUCAAAGAAACGAAGGGCAGAAGAUAUGGCCAAACAUAUUUCAAAGAAGAAACAAAAGAAAAUUCGCAAUGGUUAUUCAUGAUGACUCUACUGAAGAAGAAGUAGUUCCAGACUCUCUGGUGAUCAAUACUCCCAUUACUUCGAAUGUUGAGACUUCUGUUCUUGUCUCUACAUCUAUUGUUUCAACGAAAGUUUCUACACCAGAACAGAUUGUAGCUACUUUACCUCCGGAGUCAACUAUUGAAACUUCUCAUGCUCAGGGUACUUCUUGUGUUGUUACUUCUGAUGGGUUUAUACAAACAAUCCUAUGUGUGCAUGCAACCCUAGAGUUGGAUCUAUGUUUUCACUAUUAGUUAUACAAUUUUAUGAACACAAAAUUCAUAUAUAAAAUAGAAUACAUACCUUUUGUUGUUAUAUAGCGAUAACAACUAGUUCCUUGAAUUUCCUUAGCUCUUGAAAGCAAGUACCACAAGUGUAGUACCUCUAAUGGCUCACAAACACACUAGGUGAAAGGAUGAAUAUGGGAGAGAGGAUAGAAGGCUAUCUUGCCCUAUAUUUCGUCCCUUUUAGGGUUUCCCAAGGAUUAGACGAAAUCUUAGUGCCUUAGGGUGCUAUUUAUACUUAAGGCUAACUAGGGUUUCAAGGUGUAAACCCUAAUCCCUUAGCUUAGGGCCUAAGCAAGUCCAUGGACUCCUUUCCUUAAGCCCUUGGAUGAAAACUCCUAGAUCCUUCUAGGAUUUUCGUUCAAGCCUUAAUAAAGGUGAUCCAAUGGCCCAAAGCCUCAACUAUUGAAUAAUUACAAAAUAGCCCCUGCACUUUCAGUCAGUUCCUUUAAUCCCAAAAUUAAUUCCUAAUUAAUUUCUGAUUAAAUACUAAUUAAUAAUAUGAUUCCAAAUUAAUAUAUUAUUCAUAUAAUAUAUUAAAAAAUCAUAUUUAUACCCUAAUUUAUUAUUCUUAACAAUAAACCAACCUCUCUCCUCAACAAUCAUCCUGUCUAGUCACCAGUGUGAAGGCAACCCAAAAGGACCAUGCACAAUCGGGUCAAGUACAUACCAAAAUAGUUAUGGACUUAGACACUAAUCCAACAGUCUCCCACUUGGAUAAGUCUAAUAACUAUUCUGCGUAUAACCUCAGAUCCUGAUUAGCAAUCGUAGCUUUCAAAAGCCGCUGUCAACUCUGAUCUUAUCAGAAGCGUGUCCUUUAGAUAAGGGAUCAUAUAUUCCUCCAUUCUUGAUAUCGUAUAGACUUGAGACAUGGAUUUUGAUCAUUCUCUCAGUCUAUGUUCUGUUUCCCGAUUUCCGAUUUAUGACGACUGACAACAGACUACAAUUGAACACAUCAAAUUAGUCUCGGCUUGGCCAAGCGCUUAGGGUGUCAUCACUAAAUCAUCGAGGGGCCCACAGAUAUCGCUUUCAUCCCACUUUGGAUAAAAGGAACGGAUAAACUUUGAUUCAAUUCUUGCUUGCACUCACUUACCGAAUCACACAUGACACUAUGUUUUAUGACACCAAGUUACUAGUGCGUUUACAUAUUAUCAAUGUGCAACCGAUUCGCAAGAUACAACUCACACAUCUCGGUUUCAAGAAUAUAAGAUGUUAUCNNNNNNNNNNNNNNNNNNNNNNNNNNNNNNNNNNNNNNNNNNNNNNNNNNNNNNNNNNNNNNNNNNNNNNNNNNNNNNNNNNNNNNNNNNNNNNNNNNNNNNNNNNNNNNNNNNNNNNNNNNNNNNNNNNNNNNNNNNNNNNNNNNNNNNNNNNNNNNNNNNNNNNNNNNNNNNNNNNNNNNNNNNNNNNNNNNNNNNNNNNNNNNNNNNNNNNNNNNNNNNNNNNNNNNNNNNNNNNNNNNNNNNNNNNNNNNNNNNNNNNNNNNNNNNNNNNNNNNNNNNNNNNNNNNNNNNNNNNNNNNNNNNNNNNNNNNNNNNNNNNNNNNNNNNNNNNNNNNNNNNNNNNNNNNNNNNNNNNNNNNNNNNNNNNNNNNNNNNNNNNNNNNNNNNNNNNNNNNNNNNNNNNNNNNNNNNNNNNNNNNNNNNNNNNNNNNNNNNNNNNNNNNNNNNNNNNNNNNNNNNNNNNNNNNNNNNNNNNNNNNNNNNNNNNNNNNNNNNNNNNNNNNNNNNNNNNNNNNNNNNNNNNNNNNNNNNNNNNNNNNNNNNNNNNNNNNNNNNNNNNNNNNNNNNNNNNNNNNNNNUAAGAAUAUCAAAUUCUUGCCACUUAUAGAAUAUGCUAGAUUCUAACAUUUUAUGCAAUGAUCCUUUCGUAAAGUCAUAGCUCAAAAUCAUCAAGACUUGGCCAAUCUCUAUCAGAAACAAUUCUAUAGAUAUGAUGUCUCUCACUCAAAGUACAUUCCUUUGAACAUCCUUCUUGCAUAAAAGUUUCUAAUCUAGACAUAGAUUCUCAAUAUCCAACUCCCAAUAUGGAAACAUUUCCAUAUUUUCCAUAUGACAACUCAUUCUUAAUAGAAUCUUAUCUAUUCAUAAUAAUGUCGAUAUGGUCCAUCCAAUACCAUACUUCCAACUACUCACAAGCGACCAAUCCUCAGCGAGCUUUGGAUCGUCCUUUGAUAGUUGUUUAAUUAUCUUAGUCAAAACCGAUUCUUGUCUUUUUUCCUUCUUAAUGCGCUAGACAUUUGGAAAAUUUUAGAAUGGUCAAAUAUUAUAGCAUUUGCAAUCGAUCCUAUACCCGAAGCGUAUGGGACACGAUGCAUAAUGUCUUACAUAAAGAUACGAUACUUUAUCAAUCUUCUGCCAUAAUAUCUUAUGUGUCACGUUCUUCUAAUUCGAAUUAUGAAGAGGGAUGCCAUAAUCAUAAUCGAAAUUUUGAGAACGCACUAUGUAUCCUUGACUAAAUUUAUUAACAUUCCACAACCUAAGCCUUUAGAUUUGAAAUGAAGCAUAAUAUUCUCUCCCUUAAUUAUAGCAAAACAACUUUUCAACCCUUACGACUUUGCAAAGUAUAAUCUUGUUUUCUAUAAUUAAUAUUGCUAACUUGCAAUACUUGCCUUAAUAAUCAUACAAGCACAACAUUUAUGCUUCCACUAUCAUGAUGAUUAUUAUCAUAUAAGCAUAACACUUAUGCUCCCACUAGCUUUGACAUGUAUUCAGAAACCAGCUUAACUUCCAGAAAAACAAUACCUAUUGAAUUUCUUAAGUUCAUAUUUCCAUUACCUAAUGCUUUGAUAAUCCUUUAUCUAAGCUUCUCAAACUUAUACACCUUUGCCUUAGAUAGCUCAUAUGUGUGUCUAAACAAUUCAGACUAAUUGCCAAGUCUCACAAUUUGAAGCAUGGAAAGGGAUACCGUAACCAUAAUCGAAUUCGAGAAUAUAAUUUUCACAAUCACUAUCUUCUUAAAAUCUCUCUUAGUGAAAGCAUUUCCUCACAGUCCUUUUCAUGAAGGAUGGAAUCUUAUGUCACUUAGAUUUUAAUGGUGUAUGUGUUCCUAUCCCUGCGAAUUUGUCAAAACCAAAGUUUGCGACAAAUCCAAAAUCAUAUGGACCGAACUCUUAAUAUUUAUUUCUUGCCUUAUGGUAACACGAGUGCCCACAUGUCUUCCAAGUAGUUAAGCAGCUCACGCUUUUCCUAUCAAUGUACUUUUCAUUGAUCAAGGUGCUUGUCUUUUANNNNNNNNNNNNNNNNNNNNNNNNNNNNNNNNNNNNNNNNNNNNNNNNNNNNNNNNNNNNNNNNNNNNNNNNNNNNNNNNNNNNNNNNNNNNNNNNNNNNUAAUAUUAUUUAAUUAAUAUAAGUCAUAAAUUAAUUAGGAAUUAACUUGGUCACUUAAAGAGAUUAAUUAAAUGAAGGGGUAUAAACUGUCAAUUAUUUGACAGUUGCACUUUGGGCUAUAUAUCCUUUAUGGAUAAGGGGUGGACGAUUUCUAGGGCUAAGGAUAGCCAUAAAAUCGUCCAAGGCUUAUCAUGGAAAGGAUUUGGAUUGCUUAGGGCUUAAGUUAUCCAAUUAGGNGAAACCCUAGGAGCCUUACAAGUAUAAAUAGACCCCAAGGGCUAAGGGAUUUCGUGACUUGUGCUUAGAGAAGAAACCCUGGCCGAAUUUCUCUUCCCUCCUCUCUCUCAAAUCAUCCUCCUUGCUAGUUGGUGUUUGUAAGCCAUUAGAGGAGUGACAAUUGUGACUCUAAAGCCUCAAGGACAACAAGAUCAAGCAAGUGAUUCAAGGUAAACUUCUAAUCUCUGAUUUCAUAUUAUUGUUAUUGUAUAUUAGCCAUUAGAAGUCUUAGAUUCAAUGUAUGUUCAAUUAGAGAAACCUAGAUCCAAGCAUUAGGGUUGCAUGUGCACAUAGGAAUGUUCAUAUGGCCAAAACCCAUCAUAUAUCCACAGAGGUCUGGAGGCAGAUUCACCAAUCAACUUUGCUUUUCCAGUGCUCCAAAUCAUUGCUGAUUCAGCAACAAUAAGCAUAUAGGUGAGAUCGAUGAGGGUCACAUCGUGGUUCAUCAUAUAGUACUCUCUUACGAACUUACUAUAUGAUUCAGUAACUAACUGAAGAACCCAGUCAACAGCCAGCUCUUCACAGAAAACGGAUCCCAACAUUCUUAACCUAUCAAUGUGUGACUUCAUCUCUAGGACGUGUGCACAUACUGACUUUCCUUCUUCAUGUUUACUUGCCAAAAGGGCUUGAGUGAGCUUGAACUUUUCAGGCUUUCGAACUUGUGGGUUAGGGAGAAUAAUUGGAGGAGGUGGAGGAAGUGAAGCAUGAUCUCUUGUUCCUCGAUCAUAUCGCGGAAUAUCAUCUUCAUGUGGAACGCUUGUUCCAUGAGAUUUGAGAAGACCAUAGCUGUCAUACUUUGACAUCUACAAAAUGGGAGAAAAUUCAAGUUAAGUUGAUUUGAAUCCUUGAUGUGACACCCAAAUGAAACAUCAAGGCUAGGAUCCAAGACAAUAAUCUACAACCUAGAAGAGGGAUGCCGUAAUCUAGUUGCAGAAUAUUUGAGAGUAGGUAAAUGAAUAUUUACUAAUUUCCACCAAGAAAAACGAAAAAGGAAUUUAAGUUUUAAAUCUAUUGAAAAUUCCNNNNNNNNNNNNNNNNNNNNNNNNNNNNNNNNNNNNNNNNNNNNNNNNNNNNNNNNNNNNNNNNNNNNNNNNNNNNNNNNNNNNNNNNNNNNNNNNNNNNAAUCAAGCAAAAGUCAGAAACUUUUGAAAAGUUCAAAGAGUUAAAAAAAUAAAGUGGAGAAUCAAUUGCACAGGAAAAUCAAGAUGCUUCGAUCCGAUCAAGGAGGAGAGUACCUAAGUCUUGAAUUCCACGAUUAUCUCAAGGAGUGUGGAAUAGUUUCACAAUUGACGCCACCUAGGACACCGCAGUUGAAUGGUGUGGCAGAAAGGCGUAAUCGAACCUUGUUGGACAUGGUUCGCUCUAUGAUAAGUCGUGCUUCACUACCUAUCUCUUUUUGGGGGGAUGCCUUAGAGACUGUCACCCAUAUCCUUAAUCUAGUCCCUACAAAGAAAGUUGCCAAAACUCUUCAUGAGAUGUGGACUGGUAAAGUACCCAAACUAGACCACAUCAAGAUUUGGGGUUGAGAGGCUUUCGUGAGACGCAAGACUCAUGAUGAGCUCGAACCUCGAAGUGAGAGGUGUAUUUUCAUCGGGUACCCACAACAAUCUUGUGGUUACCUCUUCUACAGACCUAGUGAAAAUGUGGUCUUUAUAGCUAGGAGGGUUGUCGAGAGAGAGAGAGAGAGAGAGAGAGAGAGAGAGNNNNNNNNNNNNNNNNNNNNNNNNNNNNNNNNNNNNNNNNNNNNNNNNNNNNNNNNNNNNNNNNNNNNNNNNNNNNNNNNNNNNNNNNNNNNNNNNNNNNNNNNNNNNNNNNNNNNNNNNNNNNNNNNNNNNNNNNNNNNNNNNNNNNNNNNNNNNNNNACGUAUAUUAGUGAUGGUACACUAAUAAACCUUGAUGAACCUAAUAGCUAUAAAGAAGCCAUGGCAGGCCCGGAGUCUGCGAAAUGGAAAGAGGCAAUGGAUAGCAAGAUCCAAUCCAUGUAUGAUAACCAAGUUUGGAAUUUGGUUGAUAAUGUGCCCGGACGUAAGACUGUUGGGUGCAAAUGGAUCUUCAAGAAGAAGACCGACGCGGAUGGAAAAGUACACAC
Molecule: long non-coding RNA, 27795 nt
Filed under: Lactuca sativa (garden lettuce)
Lineage: Eukaryota; Viridiplantae; Streptophyta; Magnoliopsida; Asterales; Asteraceae
Description: long non-coding RNA (LSAT_LNC000186)
Source: RNAcentral